GCCAGUGUGGCUCAGUUGAUAAGACUGGUAACCAAGGCCGCACACAUUAGAAGUGCGUGGGUUCGAAUCCCAUCACUGGCA
Molecule: non-coding RNA, 81 nt
Organism: Blastomyces dermatitidis ER-3
Lineage: Eukaryota; Fungi; Ascomycota; Eurotiomycetes; Onygenales; Ajellomycetaceae
Source: Rfam